UACGUAGGGGGCAAGCGUUGUCCGGAUUUAUUGGGCGUAAAGAGCGUGUAGGCGGCCGCACAGGUCCGUUGUGAAAACUGGAGGCUUAACCUUCAGACGUCGAUGGAAACCGUGCGGCUAGAGUCCGGAAGAGGAGAGUGGAAUUCCUGGUGUAGCGGUGAAAUGCGCAGAUAUCAGGAAGAACACCCGUGGCGAAGGCGGGUCUCUGGGCCGAUACUGACGCUGAGGAGCGAAAGCGUGGGGAGCGAACAGG
Molecule: ribosomal RNA, 253 nt
Filed under: uncultured bacterium
Lineage: Bacteria
Description: partial 16S ribosomal RNA
Rfam family: Bacterial small subunit ribosomal RNA
Source: RNAcentral